Molecule: small nuclear RNA, 103 nt
Organism: Elgaria multicarinata webbii
Lineage: Eukaryota; Metazoa; Chordata; Lepidosauria; Squamata; Anguidae
Source: RefSeq, a predicted model, not a curated record
UUGCUUUGGUGACACAUAAGCUAAAUCUGAAAUGAUUCAGAAAAAAUUAGCCUGGCCCCUAUGUAAGGAUGACACACAGAUUCGUGAAUUCUUCCAUAUUCUU